Molecule: long non-coding RNA, 1688 nt
Filed under: Nicotiana benthamiana
Lineage: Eukaryota; Viridiplantae; Streptophyta; Magnoliopsida; Solanales; Solanaceae
Description: long non-coding RNA (NBEN_LNC015375)
Source: RNAcentral
AUCACAAAAAAUUGGGAUACAAAAAAUUUCAAUAACAAAAUCCAUCAAUUAUUGCUUGAUCCACAAGAAUUGAGCACAAUCAUAAGGGAACAACAACAUACUCAACUCCAGCUAGGCCCAAAAUCUCCAGCCUCACUUCUUUCGAGUUUCACAACCUUUACUAAGAUUUGGGUGCAGCAAAGUUCUCUAAAGGAUUCGUUUGAACCCCUGGCCAAUACCAAGCACCUAGAAUAUAUCAUUAUUGACAAGUGCAAGUGUCGAUGUGCCAACCUUGUGCAUCAAAAUUCAAUGUGUGCUCAAGGAUCCCAAGGCAAUGCUUACACUAAGGGGGAAGAACCUAAGUUUUAAGAGUAGUGGGAUUGUGAUAGAGUUGAAAGAGUUGAAAACAGUUGAGAGACAGUAAGAGAGGAAAACAGUAAGAAGAGUUGAAAGAAUUCUUCUGAAAUUAUUUGGACUGACCAGUUUCAAAGCGAAAGAAUCACACAAGCAGGGGCAAAGUUAAAGGGAACAAAUAAGUAAUGUAAGUUAAAGGGAACAAAUAAGUAAUGUACACAACAUCAAAGAAAAGCAAUAAAAUAUGGCUAUAGACAAAGAGUCCAGUUAUCCAAAUAUAAUUAUCCUUAGGAAGAGGUUUCAGGACAGUUAAGUAACCAAGCAGGCCUGAAUACAUGCUAGUAGUGCAUAGGAAUGGGGAAAAUACAUACAUUGAGAUGGGAAAGGGGGCUAGUGCACAUGCUAAUUCAAGCUAGGAAAACUAAUAAGUAUAUGCUAGUGGCAAUGAGAACAACAGAAACAUAAGUAAAAACACACAAGAAACAGGAAGAAGUGCAGGACUAAUAGAAGCAUGUUGUUUUGGAGGCUGUAACUUAAGGAAGUGACAUACCAACUGCAGAUAAUAGAAAAAAUAGCAAUGAGAAAUAGUUCACAAAUGAGAGAAAAGUGUGCAGAGAGUGUGUAGAGAGUGAAAUCAGCAGUUUGCAGAGAAGCAAGGAGCAGGCUAACGCUAGUAAAUAAUGCAGUAGAACCCCGGUAGUAGAAAUAAAUAGCCAAGAUUACUCAAUCUUGGCUUUAAGCCGAUUAAGUUUUCAAUAGAAGAAUGAGAGAGUUUGUAUAGAAACACUAGAGAAAGAGAGAGAACUGAGUGUUUUUGAAAGAGAGUUCACAGAGAAUCAGUCCCAAACAUAGUUUUCGAAAAAUAGUAGAGAAUAGGGUAAAGAGUAUAUAAUUAUAGAAACAGUACCAAAUUGAAUCAAUCACAAGUCCUAAUUCAACUAAAUCAGGGGCUCAUGAUUCGAAUAGGAGAAUAGGCUACCAAGUAAGGAAAGAAUAAGUCAGAUGACAGAUUAUACCAUAACAAAAGCAGCAAGCAUGCUGCAUGUAAUAGAGUCUAGGUAUACAAUGCUUCAAGUAAGGAAAAAUAAACGCAGGAUAGCCAAAAAAUAUACUUAAGUGCACAGUUAUGGUAACAAUAUAAAUUAACCAUGAAAAUCAAUCAAAGAAUCACGCGCAAGACCAAAAUAAGAGAGAAUCAGUCCCAAACAUAUAGAGCAAUCUCAUAAGUAAGGAAAUACUUUGAAAAAUCAAUGUAAGAACACCUAUGAAUCAGGGAUUCAAAAAGAUGCUCGGAAUUAAUAGAAUAUUCAGCAAAGAAAGGCAUUUGAAUUUAUUUAAGUACAACAAUCACAAAA